GACGAACGCUGGCGGCGUGCCUAAUACAUGCAAGUAGAACGCUGAAGGAGGAGCUUGCUUCUCUGGAUGAGUUGCGAACGGGUGAGUAACGCGUAGGUAACCUGCCUGGUAGCGGGGGAUAACUAUUGGAAACGAUAGCUAAUACCGCAUAAGAGUAGAUGUUGCAUGACAUUUGCUUAAAAGGUGCAAUUGCAUCACUACCAGAUGGACCUGCGUUGUAUUAGCUAGUUGGUGAGGUAACGGCUCACCAAGGCGACGAUACAUAGCCGACCUGAGAGGGGGAUCGGCCAAACUGGGACCGAGACACGGCCCAGACUCCUACGGGAGGCAGCAGGAGGGAAUCUUCGGCAAUGGACGGAAGUCUGACCGAGCAACGCCGGGUGAGUGAAGAAGGUUUUCGGAUCGUAAAGCUCUGUUGUAAGAGAAGAACGAGUGUGAGAGUGGAAAGUUCACACUGUGACGGUAUCUUACCAGAAAGGGACGGCUAACUACGUG
This 495-nucleotide ribosomal RNA is filed under the name uncultured bacterium. Its description in RNAcentral is "partial 16S ribosomal RNA". It matches the Rfam family "Bacterial small subunit ribosomal RNA", at positions 28 to 507 of the family's 1533-position model. The record is from RNAcentral.